UACUUGUUACGAAUGUAUUCUAAGACUGCAGCCGGUGAAAGUGAUAAAACAGAUGUAAUCAUAGUAAAAACAGAAAAGCCUCUCGCUAAGGUUAGCAUUUCUACAACGGAAUCUACUUUGGUUCUUGGAGCAGGAUUUAUAAUGAUAAUAGUGUUCUGGUGUGGGACAAAAGUGGUAAAGAACAGAAAGUGGUUCUCAAGAGACCAAGAUAGGAUACCUCCGUUACGCAGAAAUGAGGAAACAUCUGUCAGACUUGCUCAAUAUGAUGAAAUUGAUAGCAUAUAUUAUAACCCACUUAACAUUACCGUUUCUCCUCAAAAUACUAGGAAUAACGC
Long non-coding RNA from Mytilus californianus (California mussel), 335 nucleotides. RefSeq lists it as uncharacterized. Lineage: Eukaryota; Metazoa; Mollusca; Bivalvia; Mytilida; Mytilidae. The record is from RefSeq and is a predicted model, not a curated record. The transcript is spliced from 4 exons.